UCGGAUUGAAGGCUGAAAUUCGCCUUCAUGAAGCUGGAAUUGCUAGUAAUGGCAGGUCAGCAUACUGCCGUGAAUACGUUCCCGGGCCUUGUACACACCGCCCGUCACACCAUGAGAGUUGGGAAUACCCGAAGCCUGUGAGCUAACUGUAAGGAGGCAGCAGUCGAAGGUAGAAUCAAUGAUUGGGGGUGAAGUCGUAACAAGGUACC
Molecule: ribosomal RNA, 209 nt
Filed under: uncultured bacterium
Lineage: Bacteria
Description: partial 16S ribosomal RNA
Rfam family: Bacterial small subunit ribosomal RNA
Source: RNAcentral